UUUCGAAUCAUUCACAAUGGGCGAAAGCCUGAUGGUGCGACGCCGCGUGAGGGAUGAAGGUCUUCGGAUUGUAAACCUCUGUCACCGGGGAAGAAAUGUCAUGAGUAAACAUCUCUAGACUUGACCUAACCCGGAGAGGAAGCAGUGGCUAACUCUGUGCCAGCAGCCGCGGUAAUACAGAGACUGCGAGCGUUAUUCGGAUUCACUGGGCGUAAAGGGUGCGCAGGCGGCCGUGUGUGUCAGGUGUGAAAUCCCGGGGCUUAACCCCGGAACUGCGUCUGAAACUAUAUGGCUCGAGCAUUGGAUAGGGUAGCGGAAUUCACGGUGUAGCAGUGAAAUGCGUAGAUAUCGUGAGGAAUACCAGAGGCGAAGGCGGCUACCUGGACAAUUGCUGACGCUC
This 400-nucleotide ribosomal RNA is filed under the name uncultured bacterium. Its description in RNAcentral is "bacterial SSU rRNA". It matches the Rfam family "Bacterial small subunit ribosomal RNA", at positions 355 to 748 of the family's 1533-position model. The record is from RNAcentral.